Molecule: small nuclear RNA, 20 nt
Filed under: Arabidopsis thaliana (thale cress)
Lineage: Eukaryota; Viridiplantae; Streptophyta; Magnoliopsida; Brassicales; Brassicaceae
Description: snRNA_08269
Source: RNAcentral
GAAUCAAACCGAGGUAAUCC